UUUCGAGGUUUUGUUUUUUUAUUUUUGCACUUAACGAACGUCUUAGGGCGUGAGGUAAAUAUUUUCUCAACAAUAUUUUUCUAUUUGAUUGAUCAAUACUUUUUCUAAAAAAUUAAAUUCAUAUUAUUAUAUCAUAUUAUAUUUGUCUAUCCUCCUCCGCUUCAUCUAUUUUUGGGUGAGUUUAAUAUGCUUUUUUUUCUGAGUUUUUUGUUUUUGUCACGGAACUUGGGUUGUAUUUUUGUGGUCUUGCAAUUUUGACCUAGGGUUCUGAAUUGGAGAUUAAAAUAUACAUCUUAGAAUUUUCUAUGCAUUUAGAACUCGCGAGGUGUUCUAUUUUUGUCUCUAUUUUUCCCCUUCUAAAUUCUGGAAGAUCUAACAGAGAAGAUUCUUAAGAAUUUGAGUACUAUGAUGUUCGUGGUGUUAGUUUUUCAGCAUCUAUAGAGCAAGUGAUACGUAGGCCCAUAGUUUCAAGUAGCCAAAUUGGCUUGCUUGAUUGAGUCCGCGGAAGCCACCAUGGAGAGCCACCGGUGAUGUAUAUGAAAAUGAGGGAAGUCAACAAGAAAAUCCAAAACUUCGUCAUGUCGUUUUAAUAAUUUGUUCGGUUUAACUUCCAGUAUUUUCUUCGCAAUUGAAUGUUAUAUCUUCUCUUUGUCAUAUCUUGAUAAUCUGUACACUCGAAAAAUUGUUAAGAAUAAGCAAGGAUUCAGUAGGAUGUAUAUCUCUAAAACAAGAUCACAAGUAAUCUAAAAUUUGAGACCAAUUAUUAUGCAACUGAAAAUUCAACUUCACGAACGUCUUGAACCGACGACCUUUUAUGCCUUUGACCAAUAGGAUAUUAACAUAAGUUUACGUGUGCUGAACAAAGGUGCUUGCAAAGCACAAUGAUCCUUGAAUCAGAGUCGUUAUUGAGGACGACACAGUUUUGUGUACAUUUAUCCAAGGUUGGAUCAACGUAGUGGGUUGUGCAUAAUCUUCUGUACUUUGGACCUACACAUUUAGCGUAUCUAAUGCUUUGGGUUUUUAUAUCGGAUUAACUAUCUGCUUGGUCAUAUGACCAAGAAGGAACCCAGUUGUUAUCAUUUAGUGAAAAUACUAUAAACAAUGAUGUUUUUUAUGUGGAGUUCUAAAUAAUUGUGAUUAAGGCAUUUCAUUUGUUCUUCACACUGGAAAAUACUGCCAAAUUAUUUAAUCAAAAGUGUUGCAUGAGUUUGCAGAAGAUACAUUUAAUUCAAGCUUCUCAAACAAAUGUAGUAUUGUAUUUAACAUGUGCGAUGGGGAUAAUGUACUUUAAAAGGGAGAAGUUGGAAUUUUACCAUGGUAAUAUUUGUAUUUCAUUUUGAGAAACUUCUGCUCAAUCAACCCUUUCCUUUUUAGGAUUUUAAAUUUGGCGGAGCUUCAUUUCAAAGGUGGACCAAACAAUGAAAAAGUCUCCAAAUGCAUAUAGGGUUUUUUGUUGGAGUUGAUUGGAAGGACGGCUGAAGAAGUUGCUAAUUCUGAUAUGUGAGUUCAUACUAAGAGGCAAGCACAAGAAGGAAAUUAAGAAGUUAAGCUGGACAACCAUAAAGGUUUUGGAUAGGUUUAAUUGCAUACACCAGGAAAAUGCUCCUCAGCCAUCCCAUUCAACAAAUAAUUUCGUUGAUUUUUAGGUGGACAUUAAUGAAAAAUGUUAUUUCUCCAGUUGUUGGUGUGAUGCAAGCAGUGUCAGCUUCCAUAUGCUCUUCGAUGCCACAUAACAUUAUAAAAAAGAAUGGCACCAAGUGCACUGCAUAAAGAUUAGAAGCUGGGAUGCCUUGGGUGGCAGUGCAAUGACUACAGAUUAAGAAUUCUUCAAGCUAAAAAGUAACAACUUACUGCUCUACUACUUUGAACAUGGAAGAACAAUAACGGCUUGCGGUGGAUAAAGUUGGUCGACAAACUCAGAGACGGGAGCGCUUUGCUGCAAGCUCUCAUGUUGACAAAUGUCUAUGUUGUGCACUUUAUAUGUAACCGAGGAAAAUUGUAAGAAAGUAGUAUAUUGUUCAGUUCAUGGAAUUCUAACGACUAUACAUGUAUUAGGAAACUUAUGCUACUUCUAUGCCAUUAUAUUUAAUGCAUAAUCAUUUUA
Molecule: long non-coding RNA, 2104 nt
Organism: Lycium barbarum (goji berry)
Lineage: Eukaryota; Viridiplantae; Streptophyta; Magnoliopsida; Solanales; Solanaceae
Exons: 5
Source: RefSeq, a predicted model, not a curated record